GGAUGUUCAGAAAGAGUGAAAUUGACUUUUUAUCAUCAAAUUAGUCCUUUAAAAAAAAAAGGGGAAAAAAGGAAAAGAAGAUAUAUGUGAGACAUCUUUCACUUUUUGCCAUUUGUAAUAGAUUAUUUACAAAAUAUGUAUUUCUUUGCAUAUUCUGGUAUUGAUUUGUUCUUAGUUUCUGUUUCAAAAUCAGUUGCUGGAGGUAGAGAUAGUGAGGCUAAAUCAUCUUCGUGAUCGUGCUAGUGAGAAGGGGCAUAAGAAGGAAUAUCCUUUCUUAAUUAAUUUGCAUUUUAGAGCAUGGAAUGAUGUUUGUGCUCCGAGUUCAAUAAAAGCAAUGUAAUUCCUGUACACAUAAGGAGCUAGAAAUAUAAAUUUCUAUUAUACUCGGACAUGAUUCACAGGUUAAGAGAUGAAGAGUCUCCAUCGAAUUUUUUCCUCUUGAUAUAGUAUUGCUUGAAAACGGGGAAAAGGAAUUUACUGAAAGGUGGAUUUUGACUCAGUUGACAUGAUAACCCACACUAAAUGUACUUUCUAGAAUUGGGACUAUAAUUGAUAUCUUGGUCUUUCGAGAGAUUUGCCAACGAGCUGCAGAAAGAAUCAUGUCACAUUCCAUACUAUAUUAUUAAUAUACAAUGCAUACGCUUCACUCCCUCUUUUGUCAUAAACAAUAUUCUGUCUUUGACAUUAUCAAAUCCUGAACAUGGAUAAGAAAUGCUCAACUAUGAACUUGGAAUUGUGUGUUUAAAGGUGACAUGAUGGAUUUACAAGUGGGUAAUUAUAAGAAGUCAUUUCCUUGUAUUCAUUGCUUGCAUGAUUUGAGUCAAUUGUUCCAUCAUGUCUCUUAACAUGAACGGCUUAUAUAAAUCUCCAUCAUUGGUUAUUGAAUGAUUCUUACUGUGUCCUCAACUCUAAUGUUGUUUUAGCAAUGCAAUUCACAAUUUAAUAGAAUUAUUCCACUUCUCUUAUUUUCUCUCGUUAAGAAAAGAAUUACCAAUACAAGUUUGGGUGUGUUUUACUUCUCUCUUUUCUUGCCACUGCAAUGUUGACGUGAAAAGAUCUUGCCUGUAUCUCCUGGCUUUCUUGACUAUCUCACGCUCAGAGAGUAUGUAGAGAAGUUACAGCUUUUGAAGUCAACUGAGGAACGCCAACGGAGACUUCGUGAAAUUCCAAAGAUUCAUGCUGAUCCAAAAAUGGAUCCAAAAUAUGAAUCAGAAGAUGAUGCCGAAGGUGGUAAUAACAGUAAGAAAGAUGGGAAUUUGAGGCCAAAUGUUUCUGGAUUUACUCGAAAUGGAAAGCAACCAUUAAAAAAGGGU
Long non-coding RNA from Olea europaea var. sylvestris, 1313 nucleotides. RefSeq lists it as uncharacterized. The transcript is spliced from 2 exons. Lineage: Eukaryota; Viridiplantae; Streptophyta; Magnoliopsida; Lamiales; Oleaceae. The record is from RefSeq and is a predicted model, not a curated record.